UCUAAUAUGGCAGAUUAGUGCAAUGAAUUUAAGCUUCAUAUAUAAAGAUUUAAUCUUUUGUUAGAA
This 66-nucleotide transfer RNA is filed under the name Spilostethus saxatilis. Its description in RNAcentral is "transfer RNA-Leu". Lineage: Eukaryota; Metazoa; Arthropoda; Insecta; Hemiptera; Lygaeidae. The record is from RNAcentral.